UAUGGAAAAUGAAGGAAGUUCUUUGGUUAACCUAAGCAAUAGAGAAACCACAACUCUAAUAUCCCAAAACUACAUAUCAAGAAGUAGCCCUUCUCCACAGUCCACUAGGAGUACGCCAGAUCUUUUCAUUUAUGUGAAGAGAAUAGAACUCGAAUAUAUGUAUAUGUUCUUCAUAGGAGUCAUUGAAGGCAGCUCAGGACCAGCAAUCUGUUAUGCUUGGCGAGAUUGGUGCGUCCCAACAAAAUACCUUCACCGUUGACGGACAAGAAAGGUUACAGAGAUAUGGAAGAAUGAUGAAGCAGUUUUCGAGUUUUUGAAGAGGCGUUUAUCAAUCAUUGAGGGGCAAUAUGUUCGGCAUAGCGUCAUGAAUAUAAUGAAAUAUUUGAACGACCAAAGUUGCCAUGAAGUUGAACUGGGCUGGACGAGAAAAAAAGAAAGCCAUUCAAAACUAAGAAUAUGUGGUAUGUUUUGGUUAAUAUGGCAUUAUUCAUCACCUAAUUGAAAUUACACACUUUAGAUACAGAGGCAGCGAUGUAUGCUUAUUCGGAGAUGAGUCGUUCUGACCUAACUGAAGGAAUCAUAAACAAGGCAGUGAAGGACUGGUUGAAACUGACAAAACAGCGUUUUGAAUAUAAAAACUAAAUUUUGAUCGCCAUCAAACUGGAAGGUUCAGAUAAAUUUCAAUCCAUUUAUGAAAUCUUCCCAUUCAUUCAUCAUUUUUCCCAAAACCAUAUUUACCUAGUUUUUAUUUAAAAGAACGGUUGAAAACUUCUACUGAAUCUUUCAGUUCCUCAUUCAUUUUUUAAUUCAUGUUAUGAUUUAUAUAGACAAGUUGAAACAAAUAAAAGUUUUACUUUCUGUUCA
This is a long non-coding RNA of Coccinella septempunctata (seven-spotted ladybird), 864 nucleotides long. RefSeq lists it as uncharacterized. The record is from RefSeq and is a predicted model, not a curated record. NCBI's taxonomy places the organism in Eukaryota, Metazoa, Arthropoda, Insecta, Coleoptera, Coccinellidae. The transcript has 2 exons.